UUGCCAUGCAGCUGCUGUGAAAUUAUACAGAGAAAAGUAUCAGGCUUCUCAAGGAGGACUUAUUGGGAUUACAGUAUUCACAGCUUGGAUGGUUCCCAAAUAUGAUAAUGUUGCUAGCAGGAAGGCUGCCUCUAGAGAACGCGAUUUUUUGAUCGGAUGGAUUAUGCAUCCAAUUACUUAUGGCGACUACCCGGUGACCAUGAGAUAUUUUGUGGGUAAUAGACUGCCAGAAUUUACAGAAGCACAAGUAAAAAUGGUGAUAGGAUCCUUUGAUUUCAUUGGAGUAAAUUACUAUACAGCAUCAUAUG
This 308-nucleotide unclassified non-coding RNA is filed under the name Hevea brasiliensis (rubber tree). The record is from RNAcentral. Lineage: Eukaryota; Viridiplantae; Streptophyta; Magnoliopsida; Malpighiales; Euphorbiaceae.